UGGGGAAUAUUGGACAAUGGGGGCAACCCUGAUCCAGCCAUGCCGCGUGAGUGAUGACGGCCUUAGGGUUGUAAAGCUCUUUUCUCCGGGACGAUAAUGACGGUACCGGAGGAAUAAGCCCCGGCUAACUUCGUGCCAGCAGCCGCGGUAAUACGAAAGGGGGCGUAGCGUUGCUCGGAAUCACUGGGCGUAAAGGGCGCGUAGGCGGCUGAUUUAGUCGAGGGUGAAAAGCCCGUGGCUCAAACCCACGGAAAUGGCCUCUGAUACUGGUUGGCUUGAGACCGGAAGAGGACAGCGGAACUGCGAGUGUAGAGGUGAAAAUUCGUAGAUAUUCGCAAAG
RNAcentral lists this ribosomal RNA (340 nucleotides) under uncultured Methylobacterium sp. RNAcentral's name for it is "bacterial SSU rRNA". It matches the Rfam family "Bacterial small subunit ribosomal RNA", at positions 355 to 705 of the family's 1533-position model. Lineage: Bacteria; Pseudomonadati; Pseudomonadota; Alphaproteobacteria; Hyphomicrobiales; Methylobacteriaceae. The record is from RNAcentral.